AUCCAGCUGACGAUUUCAAAAUAGAACGAGACGCACGUCCUGAAU
Non-coding RNA from Schistosoma mansoni, 45 nucleotides. NCBI's taxonomy places the organism in Eukaryota, Metazoa, Platyhelminthes, Trematoda, Strigeidida, Schistosomatidae. The record is from Rfam.